AGGAUGAACGCUGGCGGCGUGCUUAACACAUGCAAGUCGAACGGUGAAGCAGAGCUUGCUCUGUGGAUCAGUGGCGAACGGGUGAGUAACACGUGAGCAACCUGCCCCUGACUCUGGGAUAAGCGCUGGAAACGGCGUCUAAUACUGGAUAUGUGACGUGACCGCAUGGUCUGCGUCUGGAAAGAAUUUCGGUUGGGGAUGGGCUCGCGGCCUAUCAGCUUGUUGGUGAGGUAAUGGCUCACCAAGGCGUCGACGGGUAGCCGGCCUGAGAGGGUGACCGGCCACACUGGGACUGAGACACGGCCCAGACUCCUACGGGAGGCAGCAGUGGGGAAUAUUGCACAAUGGGCGAAAGCCUGAUGCAGCAACGCCGCGUGAGGGAUGACGGCCUUCGGGUUGUAAACCUCUUUUAGCAGGGAAGAAGCGAAAGUGACGGUACCUGCAGAAAAAGCGCCGGCUAACUACGUGCCAGCAGCCGCGGUAAUACGUAGGGCGCAAGCGUUAUCCGGAAUUAUUGGGCGUAAAGAGCUCGUAGGCGGUUUGUCGCGUCUGCUGUGAAAUCCGGAGGCUCAACCUCCGGCCUGCAGUGGGUACGGGCAGACUAGAGUGCGGUAGGGGAGAUUGGAAUUCCUGGUGUAGCGGUGGAAUGCGCAGAUAUCAGGAGGAACACCGAUGGCGAAGGCAGAUCUCUGGGCCGUAACUGACGCUGAGGAGCGAAAGGGUGGGGAGCAAACAGGCUUAGAUACCCUGGUAGUCCACCCCG
This 763-nucleotide ribosomal RNA is filed under the name Microbacterium sp. Its description in RNAcentral is "bacterial SSU rRNA". It matches the Rfam family "Bacterial small subunit ribosomal RNA", at positions 26 to 802 of the family's 1533-position model. The record is from RNAcentral. Lineage: Bacteria; Bacillati; Actinomycetota; Actinomycetes; Micrococcales; Microbacteriaceae.